ACGGGAGGCAGCAGUGGGGAAUAUUGGGCAAUGGGCGCAAGCCUGACCCAGCAACGCCGCGUGAAGGAAGAAGGCUUUCGGGUUGUAAACUUCUUUUAAGGGGGAAGAGCAGAAGACGGUACCCCUAGAAUAAGCCACGGCUAACUACGGGCCAGCAGCCGCGGUAAUACGUAGGUGGCAAGCGUUGUCCGGAUUUACUGGGUGUAAAGGGCGUGCAGCCGGGAAGGCAAGUCAGAUGUGAAAUCCACGGGCUUAACUCGUGAACUGCAUUUGAAACUGUUUUUCUUGAGUGUCGGAGGGGCAAUCGGAAUUCCUAGUGUAGCGGUGAAAUGCGUAGAUAUUAGGAGGAACACCAGUGGCGAAGGCGGAUUGCUGGACGAUAACUGACGGUGAGGCGCGAAAGUGUGGGGAGCAAACA
RNAcentral lists this ribosomal RNA (418 nucleotides) under uncultured Oscillibacter sp. RNAcentral describes it as "bacterial SSU rRNA". It matches the Rfam family "Bacterial small subunit ribosomal RNA", at positions 341 to 774 of the family's 1533-position model. Lineage: Bacteria; Bacillati; Bacillota; Clostridia; Eubacteriales; Oscillospiraceae. The record is from RNAcentral.